This 468-nucleotide ribosomal RNA is filed under the name uncultured bacterium. Its description in RNAcentral is "partial 16S ribosomal RNA". It matches the Rfam family "Bacterial small subunit ribosomal RNA", at positions 28 to 507 of the family's 1533-position model. The record is from RNAcentral.
GACGAACGCUGGCGGCGGGCUUAACACAUGCAAGUCGAACGGAAAGGCCCUGCUUCUGUGGGGUGCUCGAGUGGCGAACGGGUGAGUAACACGUGAGUAACCUGCCCUUGACUUUGGGAUAACUUCAGGAAACUGGGGCUAACACCGGAUAGGAGCUCCUGCUGCGUGGUGGGGGUCGGGAAGUUUCGGCGGUGGGGGAUGGACUCGCUGCUUAUCAGCUUGUUGGUGGGGUGGUGGCUUGCCAAGGCGUUGACGGGUAGCCGGCCUGAGAGGGUGACCGGCCCAUCUGGGACGGAGAUACGGCCCCGACUCCCACGGGGGGAAGCAGUGUGGAAUGUUGCGCGAUGGGCGGACGCCUCAUGCAGCAACUCCGCGGGCGGGAUGACGGCCUUCUGGCUGUCAACCGCUUGCGGCGGUGACGAAGCGUGCGUGACGGUACUGGGUAAAGGAGCACCGGCUAACUACGUG